GCACCCGGCUGCGGCCCCCUCCCCCCGGCGCGGCUCCCGCCCCGCCGCAGGCCGCAGCCCAUCAUGGCGGCGCUGCACACCAAGGCCGGGGGCCCCCCCCAGAUCCCCGACACCCGCCGGGAGCUGGCCGAGCUGGUGAAGCGCAAGCAGGAGCUGGCGGAGACCCUAGCGAAUUUGGAGAGGCAGAUCUAUGCUUUUGAGGGCAGCUACUUAGAAGACACCCAGAUGUACGGCAACAUCAUCCGUGGCUGGGACCGCUACCUGACAAACCAGAAAAACUCGAACAGCAAAAAUGACCGAAGGAACCGGAAAUUUAAAGAAGCUGAACGACUCUUCAGCAAAUCUUCGGUCACCUCCGCAGCAGUGAGUACGGCGCUUGUGGCCUGGCAGCAUGCAACGCCAACUCAAGUCCUGAGCUUCCUGGGCAGAACUGCCUGGCCUUUGCCCAUGAACAUCGGGGAGGACAAAUCUGAGCUGAACAGAUCCUAUAUUGCAGUCAGUGCAUUGGCCGGAGUUCAGGACCAGCUCAUUGAAAAGCAGGAGCCAGGUAGUGGCACAGAGAGUGAUGCUUCUCCAGACUUUCACAAUCAGGAGAAUGAGCCCAGCCAGGAGGAUACUGAAGAGCUGGAUGGGACUGUGCAGGGAGUGAAACCCCAGAAAGCCGCUUCUUCCACCUCCUCGGGGAGUCACCACAGCAGCCACAAAAAACGGAAGAACAAAAAUCGACACAGGUAUGUAUAUUAGGUUAGGCUGGGAAGUUUUUUUAAAAAACAGAAAAACAUGAUGGAGGAUUGAUCUCAAGUUAAACAAAAAGCCACGAGCUGACUACUAGACUCAUCGGUGCCGAAGCUUCCCGGAUCUAGGCCCCCACGUUGAGUCCACACUAAGAAAAACAUCAGUCGACUGAAUGAGCACAAUGGGCAGCUCUCCCACCGAGUGUCUGCACAUAGGAGUAGUUCACUCAAAAGUACUAAAGUGUGUGUGUGUUUGGGGGGGGUCGGGGGGGGGAUAGUCUUGUUUGGCUACAUUGGACCAUGUACUUUGUGUCAUUUUAAAAUCACCUGAAAUGCAGGAGGACUAAGCUGUGGUGUCACCGAUCUCUGGUUCCCGAGUGCGACAUUCUUCCCCCACAGCUGGCAACACACACCCUGCAAUCGGCUGGUUUUGCUGCUGCCAUCACCAUUGUCUGUAAUAACCAUUGAGAGAUGUCGUUGUUCCAUUUUAUACCGGAAUGGGGGCGUGGCUCUGUGUGUCCCAUGCAGGUUGUAAAUCUGUUAGGUUAUUUUUUUAAUGCUGAUAUUUAGUUUGUUUUUUUUUAAACCAAACUAUACAGUUGACAAAUUGGCUUUUGAUUUUUCCUUCUUAAAUCUGAUUAGGCUGUUCAUUUUUCAGAAUGAUCCACUUGAAUUCUUACCUUAGUAAAGAAGAAAGUGGCUCACCCCUUUCCUUCAUCUUUGAUUUUAACACUUCCCCUCCGUUUUUUUCGGGGCACUGAGCUACAGGGAGUGGUUGGACCUCGAAGCCAUCUUGCUCCUAAAGGUUGGGUGGAUUCUCUUUUUAAUACAAACAUCUGUCAUUUGUAUAUAAAACAAUAAAAGUCACGUUUGUCUCUCUU
Chelonia mydas (Green sea turtle) is the source of this 1615-nucleotide RNA transcript. It is a transcript of the gene named MYST/Esa1 associated factor 6, with no coding region annotated. NCBI's taxonomy places the organism in Eukaryota, Metazoa, Chordata, Testudines, Cheloniidae. The record is from RefSeq and is a predicted model, not a curated record. The transcript has 8 exons.